This 466-nucleotide ribosomal RNA is filed under the name uncultured bacterium. RNAcentral's name for it is "SSU rRNA". It matches the Rfam family "Bacterial small subunit ribosomal RNA", at positions 26 to 522 of the family's 1533-position model. The record is from RNAcentral.
AGGACGAACGCUGGCGGCGUGCUUAACACAUGCAAGUCGAACGAGGCGCUUGCGCCUAGUGGCGAACGGGUGAGUAACACGUGAGCAACCUGCCCUUGGCUCUGGGAUAGCCUCCGGAAACGGGGAUUAAUACCGGACAUGACCUUCUCCUGCAUGGGGGAGGGUGGAAAGUUUUUCGGCCAGGGAGGGGCUCGCGGCCUAUCAGCUUGUUGGGGGGGUAACGGCCCACCAAGGCGACGACGGGUAGCCGGCCUGAGAGGGCGACCGGCCACACUGGGACUGAGACACGGCCCAGACUCCUACGGGAGGCAGCAGUGGGGAAUAUUGCACAAUGGGGGAAACCCUGAUGCAGCGACGCCGCGUGCGGGAUGAAGGCCUUCGGGUUGUAAACCGCUUUCAGCGAGGGGCGAAUUCGAGACGGUACCUGCAGAAGAAGCGCCGGCUAACUACGCGCCAGCACGCCGAC